Molecule: RNA transcript, 1788 nt
Organism: Solenopsis invicta (red fire ant)
Lineage: Eukaryota; Metazoa; Arthropoda; Insecta; Hymenoptera; Formicidae
Exons: 3
Source: RefSeq, a predicted model, not a curated record
UAUGCAAAAGUUCACUUUGAUCCACUCACUUAUUUAAAAGUUAUUUACCUCAAACUGCAGACAAGACGGUAAUUUUCGCUGGAUUCACUAUAAACUUUUCAUUAUUAUUUUCUUGAAGCUGUUUUCUUCUUUUUAGAGUGAAAAUUCAGACAUUCACAAUUAAAAUUUUUUAUCGUUGAUCAGGAGAAAGAAAGAAUAAACCUUAAGAAGUCUGCAGUUUUCAAAUUUCGACUUUUAGUCGAUAUCGUAGAGUUGAAAUAUCUUUAAAUUGCAAUAUUAGUUUUGAUUGACACGUUUUCUUUAUUCUUUUUCUUUUGUGUGACGGCGUGUCUCUUGAUUCUUCCAUUUCUUGAAAUCGCGAGAAACGCCCCGUCGAAUGACGUUUUCGCCGACGCGUGCGUUUUGAUGAGAAACGUCUUCGGAUCUGAAUUGCGCGCAUAUUACAAAACAAUAACUCACAACGUCAAGAUAAACACAAGACGAUAAAGCCGAGAAACUUUCGAUAAAGAUAGAUAAUUCUCUCUUAUCGAUUCUUAUUAUUGAAUUACUUAUUUCGAAAUAAAUACAAGUUUUGUAUUGCUAUGUUUUCCUAUGGACCUUCAAGCUUACGUAUUAAACUUUGACUUUCUCAAACGAAAUACGUACUGAUACGUAGGCGCCAAGAAAGCUUUUAGAAUAAACUCAUUUCGGAAUUUAGUUCAUCCGAAUAAAGUCCAAGUGACUCAUCUGCUUUCGUCUUAAAAGUGUUAUCCGCUGAUAACGAAAUAUAUUCCUCGUUUCGUUUGACGUGAAACGCUCGACCCGAUUCGCGCGUGCUUACAUCCGCGUCACUCCGUAAACUCGUCGAACAAUAAUUUUCGUUUGAGUUGAGAUCGACACUCGGUCGAGAACCAACACGACAGCGCGUUGAAAAUUCCAUACUUUAAUUAAUUGUAUCACUGGUGCGUACACGACGCAUUCAAGACCCGGGCCUCCCCCAAUCGUCGUAAAUUUAUAUGAUCGCCUAAAGAGAAAAAGGAAGAGAAAAAGAGGAAGACGUAACGAUUUUAUUGAGAGUUUCUUUUAUGUAAUAACGAGUGAUUUUAUCAUCUUCUCGGGAGGCGUACAUAAUUCCACGGCAACGGCCAUUAUAUCAUAGCGCUGGCGAUACUCAUUGGCGUAUUGACAGCGUUUCAUCUCAUUGUCACUCUACUCCGCCAUUGUUCGGCGUCGAGGCUUGGUGUUGACGGUGCUGAAAUGUAAGCCGGUCGCUAUCAACCGAAUGGGAUGACAGCAUCGAUGAUAAGAAAACCGUCGAGCCAUCGCGCAGUCACGCGUCUUGAAAGGGUUCGGCUUAAUUGACGAUCGAUUUUGUGACGAAAAGACGCAAAGUGGAAAUUUUAUAUCGCGAAAUGCGAUCGUAAAUCAAACAUCGAUUUGCAACAAGUGCAGCGUGGUGCAAGGAACGGACGUUUUGACUUUCCUUCUCUGCCAAGGGUGACGAUCUCAGUGCCGCACCUGAAUAUUCCAUGGGCCCCGUCGUAAAACGUCAAGUACGUUCGUGAUUAGGUUGGCAGCGGUACCGGACGGAUGGUGCCGCUUGGGAACGGUAGAAGGGAGAGGGAAAGGUCGCAUGACCGCAAGUGCAGCUGCACCCAAAGACUUGUGUAUGGUUUAACAUAGCGGGGCGGCCGGAGGCCAAGCAGUUAGAGGCAUUAAGGUAUCCAUGCACCCGAUUCAGUGCGUAUUUUUUUCGCUUUCGGAUCCUGUUGAUAUAAUGUAGAAAAUAAAUUCAUACUUCAUGACAAA